GGUUGAUUGCUUAUUGUCUUUGCUCUCAAGUCCCAUGCUGAUCCUUUCAAGGCUUGGGAAAUACACAGCAUUUCAGAGUGGGACUUUUUUUUGUUUGUUUGCUAAGUUUUUCAUUCUAUCCUACCUGUAGGAAGGACUCUCUGGGGAUGUUGGAUGGGUAGCUUUGAGUAAGAAGGCAAAGAGAAGCAGUGCCCAGUGCAUAAGGGUGCUAACUGAGCAUGCUGCUGCAACCGCUCCAUGCCUGCACACUUGACCAUCGGCAGGCCCUGCCUUCAGGAACAUUAAAUUCACUUGUAAAAGCCAGCAGUGCACUUUUCUGUAAACAAACUUCUUAAAUACCUUCUUUAUUGAUUGCAAAAAAAAAAAAAGUCAGUCACUUGUAAAUUUUCCUCUGUGAUUUGUUUUAAAGAUAUUUAUUUUCUAUUUUACUCUAGAAACUACAUGCAAAGGUUAUUUUAGAAAGGAAUAUAAUAAGACAAAUAUUAUUCAUAUUGACUUAAGUUUUUUUUUAAGUUUCAUCUUCUUGGUUUAAAGACAUCAGGGUCAGUUAAAGAAGUGCUGCUUUGCUUAACAGUUUUAGGAAAUUAGUAUCUACUUCUAGUUAAAGUGCUAUAAAAAUCAAAUCAUUAUAAUUUCUCCUAAAAUAAAUUUUAAUAAAAAUGUUUAUUUAAUAACAUGUUAAGGAUAAUAAUUCAGGGAGGGAUAUGUUAACAGGAAAACGGUUUUCUUUAAAAUAGUGGUUUGUAAAACCUUAUAAACGCUAAUCCCGCUAAGAUUGAUUUCAAUCGGCUUUAUUUCAAAGGCUGAGUGAGUCUUGGGAUGCAAGGUUUUGCAGAAAAAUAUUCAGGAAAGAUGAUUGUAUUCCUUGAAGGAAAGAAGAAAUGUAAUGUUACUGUUCCUGACUUCUGAGGUUAGACCAUUUUAUUUUUACAUGCGGCUGAUUUUAGACUACUUUUUUUUCUGGAUUUACAUUUUUAAGUAAAAUAGGCUCCUUUCUCCGUGUUGAGCCUAAACAUAAUGUUGAUUUCAUCUUCCUUCUUUUUAUUUUUUUCUCUUCCUCUUCCUCUUCCUCCUUCUUAUUCUUCCAACAACAUUCAUUUACUGAAACAACAAUUUAAGUAACAUCCUAUACUAAAGGCCACAUUAAUGAGAAAGACAGGGCAAAGAUAACUGUCCUGUGAUACAUAUAGUGGGAGUAAAAUGGUACAUGUAAUGGUAGGGAAAACAUUACAAACGGCAAGGGUAAUUUUACUCAUAUAUCACAACAAAAAUAAAGCACCAUCCAAAUGUUGGCAGUCAGCAUAUAUCAUAUGCUAUGAUAUAUAUCUAUGAUAUCUAUAUCUAUCUAUCUAUCUAUCUAUCUAUCUAUCUAUCUAUCAUAGAAGUGUGUGCUGAGAUAAAUGAAACAUGUAGAAAUAUUACACAAAGAGUGACCAGAAAAUAGCACAGAACUUAGUGUCUGGCUGAAGGACAUGAAACAUCCCCAAAGUCAACUGGCAACAACAUUACACCAGAUUAAUGUGGUGAACUUAGCUCCCCCUAUGCUAAAAAUUGUAUGUGAGUUUCUCCUUCACUGUUGUUUACCUCAAUAUGUAGUUCAUAGCAAUGUCUUGCUAUGAAUGAAUUAUGAUGUUGGUAUUUUCAUUUAUGGCAAAUCAUGUAUGCAGCCAGAAUAUUAUCACAAAACUAACAGGUGUAUUUUAAGAAAAUAUCCUUAUAACAGUGGAAACUGCAAUGUGGAACUAAAGUGGAACUGUGCCUUGUAAAUGAUUUUUAAAUAUAAGACAAGGUUAUUUAAAAUAGAUGUUUUAUUACAAAUUACCGUUACCUUGUUCCACUUGGCAUUGUGUGUACAUUUAAUUGAGCUGCAAAAUACCUUUAUUUUAUUCUCUGUCUUUUGAUCUGCAUUCGUCACAACACAACAACCAUCAGAUCCUUUUAAUACCAGAAAUAAAGAGAACAAGCAUCAUUUCUUCCUGAAAUCGUCUAUACCAAACAUGUCCUGAGACCCUUAGAGUGUAGAGUUUAUGGCUUAUGUUUGGCUUUUUCUAAGUGUAUAUAUGUGGAACUAUAUAACUAUCAUGGAAAGAAACAUCUCAAGAUGAAAACACACCUGUCUUUCAGGUGUCAAAGCAACAAAACCAAUUCUGGAAAGACACACAGUUGGAACUAUCUGGGGCCUGAUUUUGAGCACGAGGGCCUUAGAUAUCAGAAACAUAGU
RNAcentral lists this long non-coding RNA (2221 nucleotides) under Mus musculus (house mouse). Its description in RNAcentral is "long non-coding RNA chr5:71767226-71769447". Lineage: Eukaryota; Metazoa; Chordata; Mammalia; Rodentia; Muridae. The record is from RNAcentral.